GUCCUACGGGAGGCAGCAGUGAGGAAUAUUGGUCAAUGGGCUUACGCCUGAACCAGCCAAGUCGCGUGAGGGAAGACUGCCCUAUGGGUUGUAAACCUCUUUUGUCAGGGAGCAACGCCGGCUACGUGUAGCCGGACUGAGAGUACCCGAAGAAAAAGCAUCGGCUAACUCCGUGCCAGCAGCCGCGGUAAUACGGAGGAUGCGAGCGUUAUCCGGAUUUAUUGGGUUUAAAGGGUGCGCAGGCGGAGGUGCAAGUCAGUGGUCAAAUUGCGGGGCGCAACCCCGUACUGCCGUUGAAACUGCAU
Molecule: ribosomal RNA, 305 nt
Filed under: uncultured bacterium
Lineage: Bacteria
Description: bacterial SSU rRNA
Rfam family: Bacterial small subunit ribosomal RNA
Source: RNAcentral